This 406-nucleotide ribosomal RNA is filed under the name uncultured bacterium. RNAcentral describes it as "partial 16S ribosomal RNA". It matches the Rfam family "Bacterial small subunit ribosomal RNA", at positions 30 to 526 of the family's 1533-position model. The record is from RNAcentral.
AUUGAACGCUGGCGGCAGGCCUAACACAUGCAAGUCGAACGAGUGGCGGACGGGUGAGUAAUGUCUGGGAAACUGCCUGAUGGAGGGGGGUAACUACUGGAAACGGUGGCUAAUACCGCAUACCAUCGGAUGUGCCCAGAUGGGAUUAGCUAGUAGGUGGGGUAAAGGCUCACCUAGGCGACGAUCCCUAGCUGGUCUGAGAGGAUGACCAGCCACACUGGAACUGAGACACGGUCCAGACUCCUACGGGAGGCAGCAGUGGGGAAUAUUGGACAAUGGGCGCAAGCCUGAUGCAGCCAUGCCGCGUGUAUGAAGAAGGCCUUCGGGUUGUAAAGUACUUUCAGCGGGGAGGCGGUAUCUGCAGAAGAAGCACCGGCUAACUACGUGCCAGCAGCCGCGGUAAUAC